AUACAGAGGGUGCAAGCGUUAAUCGGAUUUACUGGGCGUAAAGCGCGCGUAGGCGGCUAAUUAAGUCAAAUGUGAAAUCCCCGAGCUUAACUUGGGAAUUGCAUUCGAUACUGGUUAGCUAGAGUGUGGGAGAGGAUGGUAGAAUUCCAGGUGUAGCGGUGAAAUGCGUAGAGAUCUGGAGGAAUACCGAUGGCGAAGGCGGCCUGCUGGACGAUACCUGACGCUGAAAGACGAAAGCUGGGGGAGCAAACAGGAUUAGAAACCCGAGUAGUCC
This 274-nucleotide ribosomal RNA is filed under the name uncultured bacterium. RNAcentral's name for it is "partial 16S ribosomal RNA". It matches the Rfam family "Bacterial small subunit ribosomal RNA", at positions 523 to 796 of the family's 1533-position model. The record is from RNAcentral.